Molecule: small nuclear RNA, 165 nt
Organism: Castor canadensis (American beaver)
Lineage: Eukaryota; Metazoa; Chordata; Mammalia; Rodentia; Castoridae
Gene: U1
Rfam family: U1 spliceosomal RNA
About the family: U1 is a small nuclear RNA (snRNA) component of the spliceosome (involved in pre-mRNA splicing). Its 5' end forms complementary base pairs with the 5' splice junction, thus defining the 5' donor site of an intron.
Source: Ensembl
AUACUUACCUGGCAGGGGAGAAUACCAUGAUCAGGAAGGUGGUUUUCCCAGGGCAAGGCUUAUCCAUUGCACUCCGGAUGUGCUGACCCCUGUGAUUUCCCCAAAUGUGGGAAACUCGACUGCAUGAUUUGUGGUAGUAGGGGACUGCGUUUGCGCUCUCCCCUG